AGUGAACGCUGGCGGUAGGCCUAACACAUGCAAGUCGAACGGCAGCACAGUAAGAGCUUGCUCUUACGGGUGGCGAGUGGCGGACGGGUGAGGAAUGCAUCGGAAUCUACUUUUUCGUGGGGGAUAACGUAGGGAAACUUACGCUAAUACCUCAUACGACCUCCGGGUGAAAGCAGGGGAUCUUCGGACCUUGCGCGAUUGAAUGAGCCGAUGUCGGAUUAGCUAGUUGGCGGGGUAAAGGCCCACCAAGGCGACGAUCCGUAGCUGGUCUGAGAGGAUGAUCAGCCACACUGGAACGGAGACACGGUCCAGACUCCUACGGGAGGCAGCAGUGGGGAAUAUUGGACAAUGGGCGCAAGCCUGAUCCAGCCAUACCGCGUGGGUGAAGAAGGCCUUCGGGUUGUAAAGCCCUUUUGUGGGGAGAGAAAAGCAGCAGGUUAAUACCCCGCUGUUCUGACGGUACCCGAAGAAUAAGCACCGGCUAACUUCGUG
This 492-nucleotide ribosomal RNA is filed under the name uncultured bacterium. Its description in RNAcentral is "partial 16S ribosomal RNA". It matches the Rfam family "Bacterial small subunit ribosomal RNA", at positions 29 to 507 of the family's 1533-position model. The record is from RNAcentral.